This 415-nucleotide ribosomal RNA is filed under the name Acanthamoeba sp. RNAcentral describes it as "SSU rRNA". It matches the Rfam family "Eukaryotic small subunit ribosomal RNA", at positions 781 to 1095 of the family's 1831-position model. Lineage: Eukaryota; Discosea; Longamoebia; Acanthamoebidae. The record is from RNAcentral.
CAAUUUUCUGCCACCGAAUACAUUAGCAUGGGAUAAUGGAAUAGGACCCUGUCCUCCUAUUUUCAGUUGGUUUUGGCAGCGCGAGGACUAGGGUAAUGAUUAAUAGGGAUAGUUGGGGGCAUUAAUAUUUAAUUGUCAGAGGUGAAAUUCUUGGAUUUAUGAAAGAUUAACUUCUGCGAAAGCAUCUGCCAAGGAUGUUUUCAUUAAUCAAGAACGAAAGUUAGGGGAUCGAAGACGAUCAGAUACCGUCGUAGUCUUAACCAUAAACGAUGCCGACCAGCGAUUAGGAGACGUUGAAUACAAAACACCACCAUCGGCGCGGUCGUCCUUGGCGUCUCGGUCCUUCACGGGGCCGGGGCGCGGGGGCGGCUUAGCCCGGUGGCACCGGUGAAUGACUCCCUAGCAGCUUGUGAGA